Molecule: ribosomal RNA, 468 nt
Filed under: uncultured bacterium
Lineage: Bacteria
Description: partial 16S ribosomal RNA
Rfam family: Bacterial small subunit ribosomal RNA
Source: RNAcentral
GACGAACGCUGGCGGCGUGCUUAACACAUGCAAGUCGAACGGAAAGGCCCUGCUUUUGUGGGGUGCUCGAGUGGCGAACGGGUGAGUAACACGUGAGUAACCUGCCCUUGACUUUGGGAUAACUUCAGGAAACUGGGGCUAAUACCGGAUAGGAGCUCCUGCUGCAUGGUGGGGGUUGGAAAGUUUCGGCGGUUGGGGAUGGACUCGCGGCUUAUCAGCUGGUUGGUGGGGUAGUGGCUUACCAAGGCUUUGACGGGUAGCCGGCCUGAGAGGGUUACCGGGCACAAUGGGACUGAGAGAGGGCCCAGACUCCAACGGGACGCAGCAGUGGGGAAUAUUGCACAAUGGGCGGAAGCCUGAUGCAGAAGCGCCGCGUGCGGGAUGACGGCCUUCGGGUUGUAAACCGAUUUCGACGGUGACGAAGCGUGAGUGACGGUAAUGGGUAAAGAAGCACCGGCUAACUACGUG